UUCCGUUUUAAUUAAAGGGUUAAACUAGUAAUUUCAUAGAAUUUUAGUUGACAAUGAGUGUUUUAUUAAUUAGUAGAGAUAUUUUGUGUGAUACAUUGCACCUGUUAGACUUUUAUCUUUAGCAAAAAUUACAACUCUUACUUUAACCUAUUUAUAACAUGAGCGCAUUAUAAGGCAUUGGAUGCCUUUCUUUUGGUUCCCAUUAGCAAAAGAGAAAAAGAAAGGUUUUGGGCAAAUUACACGUUCAAGAUAUUGGUGCUACAUUUUUUUUGUUUUUGGGAGAGAUGAAAUUAUGUGUUUUCAUCUUCUUUAUUUAAUUCUUUGUUUCAAUGAGAACUAUUGGGUGUAAUAGGAUUUGGGUUUUCAAAGUUAAAACUCUAUUUGUGAUCUCCAUUGGUUAUUAAUAAACUUUCCUUUCUGUUUUCGCAAAAGAUGUGAGUUUUUGCCUAAUCAAUAUAAAUUUGUGUGUCACUUUGAAUUGUUUGUUUUGUCCAAAUUUUCAGAAUUAAUUUAUUAGUUUCGCAUUUUAUGCUUUCAAACACCACUUACUACUAGAAGAAUAAGCUAAACCAUUUAAUCAAAUUAAACGACAAGUUUACUGCACAAAACUGCUCAUUUUGGUUUCAUUUGACUGAUUUGAAUGUUUCAUCACAUAAGUAUGAAGAUAAAAUUCGAUUAAACGGAAGAACAAAUACUAAUUAAGUGAGAACAUCAUCAAUUAAACAUUGGCAUCCAAUAUCGAGCCAAAGAUAAGUUGGAAGGACCUAGCAAGCAGCGCCAUUAGCCAACAUUUAUAUCCAACACAAUCACACAAAUUAAACUCUCAACAGAAAAAGUUAUAUGUGGGAAAGAAAGAAUGAAUUACAUGAAACAAGAAUGUCAAAAUAACGAUGUAAUCAACUUAUUACGUGUUGUCACGCCACAAAGUUAAAUCUUCCUUAAAGAAGCAACAAUGAAAUCCCCAUGCAAGAGCUGUCCACUUUCCAAUACUUGUUCAAGAGGAAAAGCUGAAAGAAACACUUUAACAUAUGGACUUUUAAAGUGAAAGAACAAGUAUUUUCCACAAAAAAAAAGUGGAAGACUGACUCUGAUUUCCAAUACGCGUUACAAAGUGAAGAGAACGGUUUUCUACAAAGAAAAGUGGAAGACUGAUCACUGUGAGAAAUUUCCAGGAAGCUUCCCAGUUGGUAAGUGUUAUCUUUCUUCACUUUUUCAUUGCUCACUUAAGUUAUUGGUUGUGACUUCUCUGCAACUUCCCAGCUUUCCCAUUUUUCAAAAUGAAAAUAAUUACGUCACCCACCAGUGGCGAAAUCAAGAAUAAAUGAAUAAAUGAGGAGAGGAGUGAAUUUAAAAGCGUUAAUAAAAAAAAACAUGGACAACCAAAUCCUUUUACAUGUUAGACAAUAUCGUUGUUUAUAAUGUAUCAAUACAAAGAAAUAUUGUUACAAUUCUACAGGUGAGGUUUCAAGUUAUAAAAAUGUGGCAUAAUAGGUUCAUUAUUAAUAAAAGAAAAAGCAUCUCUUUCAAUGUAAAAAACCAAGAUAUCAUUCAACAAUAGAUUUCGAUUUUACUACGCAGUGAUGUUUUAAAAUAUUCAUAACAAUGUUUCUUAUAGUUUUGUUCUAUUAUGUAGCUGUAUAAUGGAAAAAAUUCUUAGACUCUUAAUUUUAUAGUACAGUCUUCUAUAUGACUAAUAACUCUAUAAAUUAAUAAAAUCCUCUUUGUCAACCAAAAGAUGAUGAAAAGACAACUUAUUCUUCUAUCACAAAAAAAAUGAUGGGCAAUAAUGUAAUUUCACAUGUCUAAAUUUUACUAUUUUUUAUUGAAAUCUCACUUACAUGUGAUGUUAAAAUAUCUCUAAUAUUUAAAAUUAAAAAAAAAUCUCCCACUUCCCCACGUUCUCUCUCUAUCUCUCUCUCUCUCUCCUCAUUUUCUAAAAAAAAUCUGUUCAUACACACAAAGUGUGUAGGCAAAUGCUAGUAAUUAAUUAAACUAACAAUUUAAUUAAUCAAUAUCAAUAAUCACAUAAAUUAUUUAAUAUCAUAUAAACUAUUCAAUAAUCAUUAAUUCAAUUCAUCAAUAAUAAACCAUUUCAUUCAUCAAUAAUC
RNAcentral lists this long non-coding RNA (2108 nucleotides) under Malus domestica (apple). RNAcentral describes it as "long non-coding RNA (MDOM_LNC009582)". The record is from RNAcentral. Lineage: Eukaryota; Viridiplantae; Streptophyta; Magnoliopsida; Rosales; Rosaceae.